Triticum aestivum (bread wheat) is the source of this 125-nucleotide non-coding RNA. Lineage: Eukaryota; Viridiplantae; Streptophyta; Magnoliopsida; Poales; Poaceae. The record is from Rfam.
UGUCUACUCCCUCCGUCCGAAAAUACAUGUCAGAAAAAUGCACAAAAAUGGAUGUAUCUAUAACUAAAAUACGUCUAGAUACAUCCAUUCCUCCGACAAAUAUUUCUGGACGGAGGGAGUACAAU